ACCAUUCUUCCUCUUUAAUUUUCUUCAAUUAUAGCUCACUCUUUUCCAUAAACCAACCUUUCUUCUUCUCUCUUUUUUACCACAAUCAAUAAAAAAUAAAAAAUCUCCAUUUUUGCAAAUCUCGUUAGAAUACAAAAAAUCCAAAUUCACUGCUUUUCAUUUAUUAUCUUUUCUUUUUUAUUCACCUACUAGGGUUCAUUUUUCUUAUAUAAAUACCCCCUCUAUAACAUUUCAUUUUCAUUAUUCUCUUAUACUAAAAAAUGAGAGUUAGGUUAAAAAGGAGCUCCUUUCGGUUCAAAAAGAGGAUAGAGAAUGAGGGUAUUGCGAGUCUGCUAGUUCAUGAAUACCUAUGAGUUCAUCAGCCAGAUAUAUGGACUCAAGGGUUUGCAUGACUUGGGAGACUCGCUUGCCUUCCCCUUUCCUUUCUUGGAUUGAAGGGAGCUCCUAUGUAGCACCGACACGGAUACAGAAAAACGGAUUAUUCAGAUCCGUAAACAACAACGCUUUUUUAAGGUUCUUAUCGAAAAAUAUGUUUCAUGUCCGAAACGUCAAACUUUCACUUGAACAAAGUGGCUUGAAGACGAAUGCAAUUGCAGAAUGGAAUAAAUGAAGAGUUGUUAGUUUAAUUUUCUGAAACAAAAACAGAAUGUUAAUGAAGUUCUUAGUUAGUUCUCAAAAUUUUCUUGUGGUAUAUGUAUUAUUGAAGUGCAAAUUUGAUGAGAUGAUAAUUCUGUGGUCUUCUUAAA
Long non-coding RNA from Mercurialis annua (annual mercury), 746 nucleotides. RefSeq lists it as uncharacterized. The transcript is spliced from 2 exons. NCBI's taxonomy places the organism in Eukaryota, Viridiplantae, Streptophyta, Magnoliopsida, Malpighiales, Euphorbiaceae. The record is from RefSeq and is a predicted model, not a curated record.